UACGUAGGUGGCAAGCGUUGUCCGGAUUUAUUGGGUUUAAAGGGUGCGUAGGCGGCUUUGUAAGUCAGUGGUGAAAUAUGGCAGCUCAACUGUCAAGGUGCCAUUGAUACUGCAGAGCUUGAGUACAGAUGAGGUAGGCGGAAUUGACGGUGUAGCGGUGAAAUGCUUAGAUAUCGUCAAGAACACCUAUAGCGAAGGCAACUUACUAGGCUGUAACUGACGCUGAGGCACGAAAGUGUGGGGAUCAAACAGG
This 253-nucleotide ribosomal RNA is filed under the name uncultured bacterium. RNAcentral's name for it is "partial 16S ribosomal RNA". It matches the Rfam family "Bacterial small subunit ribosomal RNA", at positions 524 to 776 of the family's 1533-position model. The record is from RNAcentral.